GAUGAUGUCGUGAACUUUAUACUCCAGAAGUUACUCGAUCGUGCCGAUGCACAAAAGGAUGCCAUCAAACAAGGAUGCCAUCACUACAAAACAAAAAAACAAGAGCCAUCAGAUGGGCCUCUCAAAUGUACCAAGUGUCAGAAUAUUGUUGGGAGCAACCUUGACAACAAAUACUGCGUAUCUGAAAUGCCAGACGAAAUUGAAACAUGUGCCGAAGGUGUUACAAAGUGUUACACUCGAGUAAGGAACCUUGUGGACACAGAAGCAAUGCGUAUUUAUUCGAUGGAGGUCAUCCGUGGUUGCCAACCAGACGGACUCGUGUGCGAUGAGGCCAUCGCCAUAAAAGGCCGUUAUGAGAGAUACACACAGUGUUGUCAUGAUAACGAGUGCAACGUGGACGACGUCGUUCCAUUUCCUGAAGAAUAGGUCAUCUUAUCAAUCAAUUUCGACUUCUGCUUGACACGACUCCAUAGAUAUAAAUCCUUUAUUGCAGAGGAGGAAAAUGAUGCACAUUUAUAUGAGAUGUUAAAGUGCGGUAUGGUGUGUAAUCCCGUAGGAUUUUUUUUUUGCCAAAAUUGAUUUUUUGGUUGUUUUGGCUUCAAAGGGUCCCUUAACCCUAAAUAUCCCGGGGUAUUUUGAUUCUUGUCAUUCCCGGGGAAAGGGGAAGUUCACCCUGAAGAAAACUUUGUUGUAAAAAUAGCAGAAAAAAUAAUAAAAAAAUAUUGGUGAAGGUUUGAGGAAAAUUCGUUAAAGAUUAAGAAAGUUAUUAGAGUUCAAAGUUUUGUAUUUGUGACGUCAUAAAUGAGCAGCUGCCCCAUAUGUUAUGUAAUAUAAAAUGCAUGAAUUUCAAAUUUUGUAUGGUUCCUGAUGACUUAAUUCUGUUUUCUAUUCAUGAUCGGGUGUAAAAUGAUUUGUCUAUUGAUAUACAAAAGGUACAGUGAAAACCAUUUUCAAUUUUCUGAGAAAAUGACAUUUCAUUGAUUUUUUACCAUUCGCUAUGUAGGAAUGCGGCUCGCAUAUGACGUCACAAAUCAGGUAAUUGAAUUCCUAAUAAUUUUUUAAUUCUUUGAUGAAUUUUUCUCAAACCUUCAGCAGUAUUUUUUACUAUUUUUACAAUAAACUUUUUGUCAGGGUGAACUUCCCCUUCAAGAUCUCAGCCGCGGAUUGCGCGAUCACAACGAACAUUUGCAUGAUGGUAGAGAAUGACGUAAUCUACGCAGUUGCAUUGGUAAAUUUACCUGAAUUCAUAUAUUUUUAUUUUAUAUGAAUUAAUUAUGCUAAUUUAUUCAUGAAAUCAUACUUUUUGCUCUGAUUCACUAAAUAAAAAUCCUAGAAUGCUAUUUUUGGUGAAAAUAUUCGAUGAUAAUAUUUGAUGAUGUUGUGAUGUCAAUUUUUUCACUUUUACCAUAUGGGGGCGGACUUUACAAAAAAUGCCCUAAAAUUGUGAAAUAUUACCCUCAAAAUGUAAUUUCCCCCAUUUUGGCACUAUAAUUAGGACAAAAAGAUUACAAAAUGAAAUGAAUAUGUCUUGUUAUACAGUCCAAUAACAGUAGGAAAUAAAUGUGUCAAUCGUAUGAUGAGUGAUAUUUUUAUCCAUUCCAAAUCAUAAAAAAUUUCAUGGAUAAGAAGGUUUAUUUCUUGUUCUGAAAAUUUUACUUUUCACAUGUUUCAAUCAUUUUUGCCUGCAGCAUAUACAUCUUUUCAAUUAUUCAUGGGGGCUGAGCAUUAUAAAUCACUUGCUAUAUCAAUGAAUAACCCAUUUUGGACACAGGUAUUGUUGGCCUUUUCAGAUCUUUCCCGCCUUAUUGUUGAUGACGUUGCAUGUCAAGCCCUUUGGAAUAAUCCAAAAAUUAAAAUGAAUAAUAAUGUAAUAUUUUUUUCAGGUCUGGGUGUGCUAAUGGGGUGCGUUUUGUUAAUGAUAUUUUGGGAACAGAUGGAAAAUUUCUCUCAUAUUUUGAUCUUCAACGCAAAUACAAUGUACACGUCAAUUUUCUUCAAUAUUAUGGACUGUGCAGCGCCAUUCGAUAUGGUUUCAAUAAACAUGUAAUACCAAAAGCUAUGGAGCCUAUUAUUCCAGAAGCACUAUUUUUGAUAAUUAAAGUAAAAAAAGGUUGUGCUCACAUUUACAAUAUUUUUUUGAAGUAUAAGUUAAAAGAUUGUAAAAGUCUCAUCAAAUGGAAACAGACGUUUGACUUUGACAACACGAUAUGGAUGUUCUACUAUCAAAUACAUUUUUAUUCAACUGCAGAUGUCAACAUGAGAUGGUUUCAGUUCAAAAUAGAGAAUAUAAUUAUUUAUAUGAAAGAUGCUUUGUUACGAUUUAAAUUGGUUACAGAUAACUUAUGUAUCUUUUGUUAUAAUCAUGAAGAAACUAUUAUGCAUAUUUUUUGUUCUUGUGCCCACACAAACGAAAUAUGGUCUCAACUCGAAAUUUGGUUUUCUCGUAACAAUUUGCAUAUCAAAAUUUCAAACCAGAAUAAACUAUUCGGUUUUUACGGAAACAACAAUGGUGCUCUUAAUUAUAUUUUUAUAAUCGUUAGAAAAUAAAUUUUCGCAGCAAAAUGCAAACACUGUCUUCCAGUUUUCGACCAUAUUUUGUCUGAAAUAAAAUCUUAUUAUGGUAUGGAAAAGUAUAUAUAUAAAACAAAUCUGAAAGAGAAGAAAUUCAUAAAAAGGUGGUCAUCUUUUACUUU
Lytechinus pictus (painted urchin) is the source of this 2693-nucleotide long non-coding RNA. RefSeq lists it as uncharacterized. The record is from RefSeq and is a predicted model, not a curated record. NCBI's taxonomy places the organism in Eukaryota, Metazoa, Echinodermata, Echinoidea, Temnopleuroida, Toxopneustidae. The transcript is spliced from 3 exons.